GAUGAAGAACGCAGCGAAAUGCGAUAAGUAAUGCGAAUUGCAGAAUUCCAGUGAGUCAUCGAAUCUUUGAACGCACAUUGCGCCCUUUGGUAUUCCGAAGGGCAUGCCUGUUCGAGCGUCAUUAUCACCCCUCAAGCCCUCGGCUUGGUGUUGGACGGUUUGGUGGAGGCCCCCUCGGGGGUUCCUGCCCCUCCCAAAGACAAUGACGGCGGCCUCGUUGGACCCCCGGUACACUGAGUUCUUCACGGGACACGUAUCGGACACAUGGGUUUACGGGACACGGUCUGCCUCCCCUCAGGGAGAAUCUUUCUAAGGUUGACCUCGGAUCAGGUAGGGAUACCCGCUGAACUUAAGCAUAUCAAUAAGCGGAGA
RNAcentral lists this unclassified non-coding RNA (372 nucleotides) under soil metagenome. RNAcentral's name for it is "partial contains 5.8S ribosomal RNA, internal transcribed spacer 2, and large subunit ribosomal RNA". The stretch from base 1 to 121 matches the Rfam family "5.8S ribosomal RNA", at positions 35 to 154 of the family's 154-position model. The record is from RNAcentral.